Passer domesticus (house sparrow) is the source of this 1896-nucleotide long non-coding RNA. RefSeq lists it as uncharacterized. Lineage: Eukaryota; Metazoa; Chordata; Aves; Passeriformes; Passeridae. The transcript is spliced from 3 exons. The record is from RefSeq and is a predicted model, not a curated record.
GACUGGCCCCAGGGCAGGGACACAGAGCAGUGAACCCUCAGAUGGAGGCAGAGGCCUCUCCUCAUCCCAGCCUCCCAAAGGAAAAGAGAAUUUGGCAGAGGCAGUGCUCAGAGCAGUGACCUGCCUGGAGCACAUCUGAUGCCAGCCCUGAACCAGACAGGCAGGCCCAAACCUUGCUCCUCUCCUCUGCUGUGCUUUCUGCAGGCAGCAGAGCCCUGGAGACCAGCAGUUAAAAGGAAACCAAACACCAAGAGGCCCUAUAAAAUCUCCACCUCCCACUGCUGGAGCUGUCUCAGUGAGUUGUCUGGCAGGAGCUUGUUCCAGCUCCCAGCUCAUCCCUCCUACAGCGCAGCACCCCCAAGCUCCCAGUGCCUUGGAAUGCUGAGCCCCUCCUGCCUCCUCCCCCAGGAACAGGCCCUACCACACCCCAACAGCUCCAGGGCUCUGACCCUAAAUCCAGACAAGAAAAGGGACAGGAACAGCCAGAGCAAAGCUGGGGAAGGAGAACAGAUUCAGCCCUGACUCAUCCAGGGAAACAAGGAUGGGAGAAAGAGAAGCAGGAGCACCCUGACCAGCACCAGGAUCAUUGCUCUGAGCACCCAGCUCAGAUCAGCAAAGCCCAUCACCUCUGUCCAGACUGGACCCUGGGGUGGAGCAGGCACUCAUGGCCACAGCAGCAACCUCAGAGGAGUGAAAUCACAACUGUUACAAGCAGAGCACUCUGAAUAAACCCUUUAACUCACUGAUGAAGGUGUCCCAGGGUGGUGUGUGCCCCUCAGUGCCCUCACCCCCUGCCCUUGGGUAUCUCCACACUCAACCCUUGGGUGCUGCAGUGGCUGGGAUUGGGGUUCCUGAUUCCCAAAGGCACCUGGGAACCUGAAGCUCAGCUUCUCCACUUGCACUGGUGUUACCAGAAGAGCAGCCUGGUUUGCUGAAGCUGCUUUCCAGGGGUGUCAGUACUUGUGAAGCUGGAGCACCACGUCAGGCAGAGAGGUCAGCUCCAGGCACUGACUGCUGAGCACACUAAUCUCAGUGUUUUUCCAACAGAAGAGAGGAAAAAACCUCAUCUCAGCUGAAAUACCAAGGCUUUAAAAAUUAGUUGCUGUUCAUGUGCAGUAGCUCUUGUUAUUGAAAACACCAUAAAAGUUUUACUGUGCUGACUUAGGGUGCACGUAAAGAACCUCGCUUGUCUUGACAGGCCAUAAAGGAACUUUUAUGACCUAUUGGGUCAAUGAUUUGCAGAGAAGGAUUUACACUGCUGUCCAGGGCUGGGAUGAGCUGCUGGAGGAGGAACACACCAGAAAUGGCACUCAGAGCUGAGGGGUGAGCCUGCUGUGGGAUAAAUCCAGCACGACUGUGUCUAUCAGCCUGCCUUGUUUUACACAGAUUGUGCUAACUCAGAAGGGCACAGGAUUAUGUGCUGAGUGGGUUUAACUGAUUGACCUUUAUUCUUUUGGGUUUACAAGUGGAGUUUUAGGAGGAAAAACCUUACCCAUGCAUCAGUUCAGCUCUCCCCUGGGGAUAAAUCUUCAGAAAUGCAGGCUGAAUCCCCAGUGUUGCAAUCAUUUUAUCUCUUAUCACAAAGUGUCAGCUCCACUGGUCCAAGGUUCACUUUCAACACUCCUGGGGGAACUCAAGGGAGAAGAGGCCCUGACUUAGUGAAAUAUCAUCACCUUGGGCUGAUGCUGCCUGGUGUGCUCAGGACAGAUGGAAGGGUGUGAGGGAACUCCCUGCUGUGCCAGCAGCCUCCCGUCAGGGCUUGUUUGCCUUUAUAAAGCACUGGGAACAGACUGCAGCUGCAAGCAAAGCUCCUGUGAAACCCAAAUACACACCUCCAGCCUCAGGGGCUGGUGACAGGGGCCCAGGACCAUUUGCAAGAGACAAAAUCUGCCCUGG